RNAcentral lists this ribosomal RNA (465 nucleotides) under Vreelandella stevensii. RNAcentral describes it as "partial 16S ribosomal RNA". It matches the Rfam family "Bacterial small subunit ribosomal RNA", at positions 338 to 795 of the family's 1533-position model. Lineage: Bacteria; Pseudomonadati; Pseudomonadota; Gammaproteobacteria; Oceanospirillales; Halomonadaceae. The record is from RNAcentral.
CCUACGGGGGGCAGCAGUGGGGAAUAUUGGACAAUGGGCGAAAGCCUGAUCCAGCCAUGCCGCGUGUGUGAAGAAGGCCUUCGGGUUGUAAAGCACUUUCAGUGGGGAAGAAAGCCUUGGGGCUAAUACCCUCGAGGAAGGACAUCACCCACAGAAGAAGCACCGGCUAACUCCGUGCCAGCAGCCGCGGUAAUACGGAGGGUGCGAGCGUUAAUCGGAAUUACUGGGCGUAAAGCGCGCGUAGGCGGUCUGAUAAGCCGGUUGUGAAAGCCCCGGGCUCAACCUGGGAACGGCAUCCGGAACUGUCAGGCUAGAGUGCAGGAGAGGAAAGUAGAAUUCCCGGUGUAGCGGUGAAAUGCGUAGAGAUCGGGAGGAAUACCAGUGGCGAAGGCGGCCUUCUGGACUGACACUGACGCUGAGGUGCGAAAGCGUGGGUAGCAAACAGGAUUAGAUACCCCAGUAGUC